This 218-nucleotide long non-coding RNA is filed under the name Phasianus colchicus (ring-necked pheasant). Its description in RNAcentral is "lncRNA (ENSPCLG00000002468.1)". Lineage: Eukaryota; Metazoa; Chordata; Aves; Galliformes; Phasianidae. The record is from RNAcentral.
GUAAAUGUGAUGAGUGACUCCACCAGGGUGUGCAGGUUGGUUAUUCCUCCAUGGCUGAAUUCACUAUCACUGACUCUUUGAACUGUCAGCAAUCCCGUCAUCUGCUAAUUAAGGAUCUGAAGUUUCAAUUGCAACAAACCUUAUCAAAACCUGUUAUUCGCACUGUACGUUCUGCCCUACUAAGCAUGCAGUGGCACAUCAUGGCUCAUAGAAAGUGA